CAGAAUGAUGAAAUGAGAGUAGACUCUGGUUCCUUAGACAGACUGAUUGGGAUUAUAAAACUCAACCACUAUAAUUGAUUGCAGACACAAUGAUAAUAAUGAUAGAAAUUAAUUAAUAAGUAUUAUAUACAGUGGUUCUACAGGGCAGUGGUUCUACAGGGCAGUGGUUCUAUAGGUCAGUGGUUCUACAGGUCAGUGGUUCUACAGGUCAGUGGUUCUACAGGUCAGUGGUUCUACAGGUCAGUGGUUCUACAGGUCAGUGGUUCUACAGGUCAGUGGUUCUACAGGUCAGUGGUUCUACAGGUCAGUGGUUCUACAGGUCAGUGGUUCUACAGGUCAGUGGUUCUACAGGUCAGUGGUUCUACAGGUCGGUGGUUCUAUAGGUCAGUGGUUCUACAGGUCAGUGGUUCUACAGGUCAGUGGUUCAGUAGGUCAGUGGUUCUACAGGUCAGUGGUUCUACAGGUCAGUGGUUCUACAGGUCAGUGGUUCUGUAGGUCAGUGGUUCUGUAGGUCAGUGGUUCUACAGGUCAGUGGUUCUACAGGUCGGUGGUUCUACAGGUCGGUGGUUCUACAGGUCAGUGGUUCAGUAGGUCAGUGGUUCUACAGGUCAGUGGUUCUACAGGUCAGUGGUUCUAUAGGUCAGUGGUUCUACAGGUCAGUGGUUCUACAGGUCGGUGGUUCUACAGGUCAGUGGUUCAGUAGGUCAGUGGUUCUACAGGUCAGUGGUUCUACAGGUCAGUGGUUCUACAGGGCAGUGGUUCUACAGGUCAGUGGUUCUGUAGGUCAGUGGUUCUACAGGGCCGUGGUUCUGUAGGUCAGUGGUUAUGUAGGUCAGUGGUUCUACAGGUCAGUGGUUCUACAGGUCAGUGGUUCUCUAGGUCAGUGGUUAUGUAGGUCAGUGGUUCUACAGGUCAGUGGUUCUACGGGCCAGUGGUUCUACAGGUCAGUGGUUCUACAGGUCAGUGGUUCUACAGGUCAGUGGUUCUGUAGGUCAGUGGUUCUAUAGGUCAGUGGUUCUACAGGUCAGUGGUUCUACAGGUCAGUGGUUCUACAGGGCAGUGGUUAUGUAGGUCAGUGGUUCUACAGGUCAGUGGUUCUACGGGCCAGUGGUUCUACAGGUCAGUGGUUCUACAGGUCAGUGGUUCUGCAGGUCAGUGGUUCUGUAGGUCAGUGGUUCAGUAGGUCAGUGGUUCUACAGGUCAGUGGUUCUACAGGGCAGUGGUUCUAUAGGUCAGUGGUUCUGUAGGUCAGUGGUUCUACAGGUCAGUGGUUCUACAGGUCAGUGGUUCUGUAGGUCAGUGGUUCAGUAGGUCAGUGGUUCAGUAGGUCAGUGGUUCAGUAGGUCAGUGGUUCAGUAGGUCAGUGGUUCUAUGGGGCAGUGCUUCUACAGGUCAGUGGUUCUACAGGUCAGUGGUUCUAAGGGUCAGUGGUUCUAAGGGUCAGUGGUUCUGUAGGUCAGUGGUUCUACAGGCCAGUGGUUCUAUAGGCCAGUGGUUCUACAGGCCAGUGGUUCUACAGGCCAGUGGUUCUACAGGCCAGUGGUUCUACAGGUCAGUGGUUCUAUAGGUCAGUGGUUCUACAGGCCAGUGGUUCUACAGGCCAGUGGUUCUACAGGCCAGUGGUUCUACAGGCCAGUGGUUCUACAGGCCAGUGGUUCUAUAAGGGAUGCUGCAUGCGUUUUAACUGCAGUUCUUUGGCAAACCCCUAGGGGUAUAUGUAGGCUAGCGUACAGUAGCUUGCAUGACGGCUUGGGGUUGUGUGUUGGCCCCUCCGCAGGUAUCUAAUCUCUCUCGCUCUCUCUCUCUCUCUCCGUCUCUCUUUCUCUCUCUCUCUCUCUCUCCGUCUCUCUUUCUCUCUCCGUCUCUCUUUCUCUCUCUCUCUCUCUCUCUCUCUCCGUCCCUCUGUCUCUCUCUAUCUCUCUCUCUCCGUCUCUCUUUCUCUCUCCGUCUCUCUUUCUCUCUCUCUCUCUCUCUCUCUCUCUCUCCGUCUCUCUGUCUCUCUCUGUCUCUCCAUCUCUCUCUCUCUCUGUCUGUCUCUCUCUUUCUCUCUCUCUCCGUCUCGCUGUCUCUGUCUCUCUCUCCGUCUCUCUCUCUCUCUCCGUCUCUCUCUCUCUGUCUCUCUCUCUCUCUCUCUCGCUCUCUCUCUCUCCAUCUCUCUCUCUCUCUGUCUGUCUCUCUCUGUCUCUGUCUCUCUCUGUCUCUCUCUCUGUCUCUCUCUCUCUGUCUCUCUCUCUCUGUCUCUCUCUCUCUCCCUCUCUC
Oncorhynchus keta (chum salmon) is the source of this 2259-nucleotide long non-coding RNA. RefSeq lists it as uncharacterized. The transcript is spliced from 3 exons. The record is from RefSeq and is a predicted model, not a curated record. Lineage: Eukaryota; Metazoa; Chordata; Actinopteri; Salmoniformes; Salmonidae.